Molecule: ribosomal RNA, 620 nt
Filed under: uncultured bacterium
Lineage: Bacteria
Description: bacterial SSU rRNA
Rfam family: Bacterial small subunit ribosomal RNA
Source: RNAcentral
AAAAACUGAGGUGGUGUAAGAUGGGCCCGCGUCUGAUUAGGUAGUUGGUGGGGUAGAAGCCUACCAAGCCGACGAUCAGUAGCCGACCUGAGAGGGCGACCGGCCACAUUGGGACUGAGACACGGCCCAAACUCCUACGGGAGGCAGCAGUGGGGAAUAUUGCACAAUGGGGGAAACCCUGAUGCAGCGACGCCGCGUGAGUGAGGAAGUAUUUCGGUAUGUAAAGCUCUAUCAGCAGGGAAGAAAAUGACGGUACCUGACUAAGAAGCCCCGGCUAACUACGUGCCAGCAGCCGCGGUAAUACGUAGGGGGCAAGCGUUAUCCGGAUUUACUGGGUGUAAAGGGAGCGUAGACGGAUAAGCAAGUCUGAUGUGAAAAUCCGGGGCCCAACCCCGGAAUUGCAUUGGAAACUGCAUAUCUAGAGUGUCGGAGAGGCAAGUGGAAUUCCUGGUGUAGCGGUGAAAUGCGUAGAUAUCAGGAGGAACACCAGUGGCGAAGGCGGCUUGCUGGACGAUGACUGACGUUGAGGCUCGAAAGCGUGGGGAGCAAACAGGAUUAGAUACCCUGGUAGUCCACGCCGUAAACGAUGACGACUAGGUGUCGGGAGGCAAAGCCUUUCG